CCUACGGGAGGCAGCAGUGAGGAAUAUUGGUCAAUGGCCGAGAGGCUGAACCAGCCAAGUCGCGUGAGGGACGAAGGCCCUAAGGGUUGUAAACCUCUUUUGUCGGGGAGCAAAGAGAGUCACGUGAGACUGAUUGAGAGUACCCGAAGAAAAAGCAUCGGCUAACUCCGUGCCAGCAGCCGCGGUAAUACGGAGGAUGCGAGCGUUAUCCGGAUUUAUUGGGUUUAAAGGGUGCGCAGGCGGAGGUGGAAGUCAGCGGUCAAAUUGCGGGGCUCAACCCCGGACUGCCGUUGAAACUGGAUGCCUUGAGAGGGCGAGAGGUAUGCGGAAUGCGGGGUGUAGCGGUGAAAUGCAUAGAUAUCACGCAGAACUCCGAUUGCGAAGGCAGCAUACCGGCGGGGAACUGACGCUGAGGCACGAAAGCGUGGGUAUCGAACAGGAUUAGAUACCCUAGUAGUC
RNAcentral lists this ribosomal RNA (459 nucleotides) under uncultured bacterium. RNAcentral's name for it is "partial 16S ribosomal RNA". It matches the Rfam family "Bacterial small subunit ribosomal RNA", at positions 338 to 795 of the family's 1533-position model. The record is from RNAcentral.